This 496-nucleotide ribosomal RNA is filed under the name uncultured soil bacterium. Its description in RNAcentral is "bacterial SSU rRNA". It matches the Rfam family "Bacterial small subunit ribosomal RNA", at positions 26 to 509 of the family's 1533-position model. The record is from RNAcentral.
AGGACGAACGCUGGCGGCGUGCUUAACACAUGCAAGUGGAGCGACGAACCAGGGCUUGCCCUGGGGCAAAGCCGCGAACGGGUGAGUAACACGUGGGUAACCUGCCCCGAUGACUGGGACAACCCGAGGAAACUCGAGCUAAUACCAGAUGAUUUCAUGGCUCAUGAGGGCCAUGAGGAAAGGAAGCUUCGGCCUCCGCAUUGGGAUGGGCCCGCGGCGCAUUAGCUUGUUGGUGAGGUAACGGCUCACCAAGGCGACGAUGCGUAGCUGGUCUGAGAGGACGAUCAGCCACACUGGGACUGAGACACGGCCCAGACUCCUACGGGAGGCAGCAGUGGGGAAUCUUGCGCAAUGCGCGAAAGCGUGACGCAGCAACGCCGCGUGCGGAAGACGGCCUCGGUUGUAAACCGCGUUCAGUUGGACGAAGGUUCGCCGGUGAAGUAGCCGGCGUGGACUGACGGUACCGUUCAGAAGAAGACCCGGCUAACUACGUGCC